UGCGGAAUAACUCAGGGAAACUUGUGCUAAUACCGAAUGUGCCCUUCGGGGGAAAGAUUUAUCGCCUUUAGAGCGGCCCGCGUCUGAUUAGCUAGUUGGUGAGGUAAAGGCUCACCAAGGCGACGAUCAGUAGCUGGUCUGAGAGGAUGAUCAGCCACAUUGGGACUGAGACACGGCCCAAACUCCUACGGGAGGCAGCAGUGGGGAAUCUUGCGCAAUGGGCGAAAGCCUGACGCAGCCAUGCCGCGUGAAUGAUGAAGGUCUUAGGAUUGUAAAAUUCUUUCACCGGGGACGAUAAUGACGGUACCCGGGGAAGAAGCCCCGGCUAACUUCGUGCCAGCAGCCGCGGUAAUACGAAGGGGGCUAGCGUUGCUCGGAAUUACUGGGCGUAAAGGGAGCGUAGGCGGACAUUUAAGUCAGGGGUGAAAUCCCGGGGCUCAACCUCGGAAUUGCCUUUGAUACUGGGUGUCUUGAGUAUGAGAGAGGUGUGUGGAACUCCGAGUGUAGAGGUGAAAUUCGUAGAUAUUCGGAAGAACACCAGUGGCGAAGGCGACACACUGGCUCAUUACUGACGCUGAGGCUCGAAAGCGUGGGGAGCAAACAGGAUUAGAUACCCUGGUAGUCCACGCCGUAAACGAUGAUUGCUAGUUGUCGGGAUGCAUGCAUU
Molecule: ribosomal RNA, 667 nt
Filed under: uncultured Alphaproteobacteria bacterium
Lineage: Bacteria; Pseudomonadati; Pseudomonadota; Alphaproteobacteria
Description: bacterial SSU rRNA
Rfam family: Bacterial small subunit ribosomal RNA
Source: RNAcentral